GACGUAGGGCGCAAGCGUUGUCCGGAUUUAUUGGGCGUAAAGAGCUCGUAGGCGGCUUGUCGCGUCGACUGUGAAAACCCGAGGCUCAACUUCGGGCUUGCAGUCGAUACGGGCAGGCUAGAGUUCGGUAGGGGAGACUGGAAUUCCUGGUGUAGCGGUGAAAUGCGCAGAUAUCAGGAGGAACACCGAUGGCGAAGGCAGGUCUCUGGGCCGAUACUGACGCUGAGGAGCGAAAGCGUGGGGAGCGAACAGG
Molecule: ribosomal RNA, 253 nt
Filed under: uncultured bacterium
Lineage: Bacteria
Description: partial 16S ribosomal RNA
Rfam family: Bacterial small subunit ribosomal RNA
Source: RNAcentral